UUCCAGGCUAGGGGUCGAACUGGAGCUGCAGCUGCAGGCCUAUGCCACAGCCACCGCAACACUAGAUCUGAGCUACAUCUGUGACCUACGCCACAGCUUGUGGCAACGCUGGAUCCUUAAUCUACUGAGUGAGGCCAGGGAUAGAACCCAUAACCUCACAGAGACAACAGUGGGUCCUUAACCCACUGAGCCAUAGGAGGAACUCCUGAAUAGAAUUUAAUUAAAAUGUAACUUUCAAAUUUACCUCUAAGAAGGAAUUCUACUUACUGAAGGGCUCCUCUUCCCUAGAGCAUAAUGCUUAGAGAAGCUGUAUUUGGAAUAAACUGAGUCACUCAUCAUUCAUUUCACUAUCAUCCCAAUCACCCUUUGCCCAGAGUAGAAGAUGCAGAAAUGACUAAGAGGCAAUCACUGCCCAGACUGGUGGAGGAAUAAUGCAACUCCCAUCCUUAAAACUGAUGGUGGUGGUGGAACGUGCGCCUUCGCAGCCAAAUGUUGCUGCUGCCUUCUGUUGAGGAAGCUGGUCACACAGCUCCACCUGCCUCCUCUCUGGAACUCCGCAGGGACUGCAAAGAUGCUGUCUUCCCAGCCCUGUGCAACCCUCCAACUUGAUGAAGACCACAUACACCCCUGAAAGGGGAACCAGCCAUCUGUGAGCUCAAGACUGACUCCAAGAGGGACAGAGACACCCAGACAGCAACUAGGAAGAUUAGACAGAAGCUGAAAAUUCACAAUUUCCAAUUACUCAGAAUUGUUUUGUGAUCAGGACUGUGUUACUAGGACACAUUGCUUGUACUUUGGUGUGUCACCUUUGAAUCAAUUAUUUCUUUCCUUAUUUAUUAAUGUAAUCAACAAAUCAAUAGAAAAAGGUGAUUUUCAUAAGAAUUUAUGAAAUUCACAGGCAAUUUUCAUAACAAAUACAAAUGCCCAAUAAAUAUAAGAAAAAAUCCUCCUCAACUUGAUUGACGGUCAAAAAUAAAUAUUAAAUGAAUGAGAUGAAAAAUUCCCCUUAGAUUGUCAAACGCCAAAAAAAAUUUAUAUGACAAAUGAAGUGAUACUGGACAUAUGUUGAACUACCUUAAGUCCUAAUAUGGAAAUUUAUGAUUGAAAUAAAAGCAACUCUUUUGAAAAUAAAAAGAUGAAACUGAAAUUUGCUUAGAUGGGCCAGUUUAAUUCGUGAAGUAAUUUCAAGAGGCAAGCUAAAAGAAUGGAUAUAUCGAUAUGUAUGACGGAUUCACUUUGCUGUGCACCUCAAACUAGUACAUUAUAAGUCAACUAUACCCCAAUAAAAUUAAUGUAAGAUUCUAAAUCACAAUUUAAAUAGAAGCAUAUGAAAAUCAUGGAUGCUGUUGAUAUUGACUUUAUUUGCUAGUAAUUAGAACUGAGAAUACAAUGGCCUUAUUUCUACCUACCUCUGUCCCUCUGUUUUAUCUACUUUUUAGCCCCAUCCCUCUUCCAAUCACUGUGACUAGACCAUGUCUUACACUGAUAGGCAGGUGGAAGACGGGCCAGGGCUUUAAAAGGUGUCUUCGUCUUUCAGUUUUUCUCAGUAUUAUUAUCUCUCUUUCAUCGUUAACUUAUUAUUGAUAGGAUUUCCAUAAUUCUUUUUUUUUUUUUGGCUGCACCCACAACAUAUGGAAGUUCCCAGGCCGGAGAUCAAAUCCCAGCCACAGUUGCAACCUAUGCCACAGCUGCCCCACGCUGCCACAGAGACAACACCAGAUCCUUAACCUGCUGCACCACAGCAGAAAGUUCCUUAAUAUUUUCUUAAUAAUUACCCGAUAUACCAACAUCACUUCCUCCUUCCAUAAUAAUCUCAAGUACAUCUUUUUCAUUUCAGAGUGUCCUGGUCAGAGGACAUUUAAUAAAUGGUAAGCAAUUCUGCUGCCAUAAGAAUAUGGAUGGAGUUAAAUUUAGCGGGAAACAGAAGCUAGAGAAUUAACAGCAAAGUUGAACUUGCUAGUCAUAAUUUUCAGUCACGCUAGCCUAAAGGGAAGGGUGACAUCGUCCCCUGAAACUGUCUUGGAAGCAGCUAUUCUGUUCACACAGCACCCCCCACUGGCCACUGAGGAAAGUUCACCUCCAAUGCACAAAUAAAUUAAAUUUUGACUCUGCUGGCCUACCAACUAAAUCUCAUUUCUCACAGGUGUGCAAUUCAAGAAGAUGCAUGGCCUUCUUUUUCCCCACCAUUCAUGUUGGCUUCAGCUGAAACAUGAGUACUUUAAAAGAGGAGUAAUAAUAGGAUCAUUUCAGGGCAAGGUGAAUUAAAUGCCUAAUUCCAUUCAGUCCUCCCAAAGAUGUUUAAUAUUUGAUACAAAGUAGAAGCAAGUAACAUUUAUUUUAUAAAUGAACAAUAACAAAGAGUUGUUAUCACUGACUUUCUUUUUCAGAAGCCUUGGCAAGCUUAAGCAGUAACUCAUCACAGGCUUCAAAGCAAGUAAAUGGCAGACCAGAGCUGAACUCCGUCUAACUCCAGAGGUCACACUUAAUGACUACCUCAUGCUUCACUCUUUACUAAAUUAUUAACUAAGUUUAUAUACAUAUAAUUACAUAAUUGAAUAAACCUAUGUUUAUUAAAAUAAAUUUUCAGCAUUAAAAAAAAAAAACACCUAUUGGAAAAGAGUUUCAAAGCCUAACAUAACAGGUGAGGUUUUAAAAAAGCUGACAUAGAUUUUGCUGAACUUCAACACAGCACAGGCUGUUUCCUGAGCAACUUAUACAAAGGCAACUCCAAGGACAUUCUAAUUGCAAUGGGGCCUAUGCCACAUGAUGUCAAUUACAAACAGAAGUUAAACAACAGAAUGGGGCCAGUUUGGAGCCUCUAGCACAGGCUGGAUGUAACCACCCUCCUCUUCCAAUUAAGAGUGUGUUACAGAUUCGGUAUGGAUAAGGAUGUGAUGGGGCUGGAGAGGAGACUUUCAUUUUUGUGGACCUAAAUUAAAACAGACUUUUAAAAAUGUGUGUUUGUAUGUGUGUGUACGUAUGUGUGUAUGUGUACAGGAUAAGGGUGAUCAUAUUCAUCUGAGAGAGUCAUUAAAGAAGAUUCCAGAGGUGGGUGGAAUUUAUAUCCUAGGUUUGGAUAAGAGAAUUUUCCCGCUCACAUUAACAGCACUCUAUUGGUAAUGCCUGCCAGAGCCCAGGGUCAGGAAGGAUUCUGAGUUCUACAGAGAAAGUAUGCUGUGCCAAUUAACAAUGUCUGCCCUGGCAUGGGACCCGAGAGGCACAUUUACUGUGAAUUUAAUCAAGAUUAAAACACUCCUGGGGCUGCCAUAUCUGUUCAUUAUCACAGAGGCACCUCAGAGCUACCAACCAGGAGUGAGAAGAUCACACAGCAGAUGGAGUUCCUGGGUGGUCUACUGUGAUAACAUAAGGCCAUAGACGCUUUUGGGAGCCAAGAUGACAGAAAGGCCACCUGGCUGAGAAACAGGAAGAAAAAAGGCAAGCGAUAUGGCUGAGGACCUGUACUCCAUACUGGCCCAGAAUUUAGCAGACUUGCUGUUUUUCUGGCUCAGCCUCAUGGAUUUGGGAAAUAUGACUAUGCAUAGGGCUCAUUAAUUUUCUUAUUUCUUUCCUUCAUUCCUUUGAAAAGUUUUUUAGCAAAGUCUGCUUAGAAAUGCCAACCUGUCUCAGAUAUGCUGAAGGAAAAUCAAGUUUUGGUCAGUGUUUAAAUCAGAAUGUAAAAGGGGGAAGAAGCGCCUCCCGGUGGUAGAUUUGGAAAAUUCUCAGGACAAGAUUUCCCAAGUGUUCCUGGAAGCAUUAACUGUUCAUGACUUUCCGUGGG
Molecule: long non-coding RNA, 3778 nt
Filed under: Sus scrofa (pig)
Lineage: Eukaryota; Metazoa; Chordata; Mammalia; Artiodactyla; Suidae
Description: lncRNA (ENSSSCG00035047429.1)
Source: RNAcentral